Molecule: precursor RNA, 339 nt
Filed under: Arabidopsis thaliana (thale cress)
Lineage: Eukaryota; Viridiplantae; Streptophyta; Magnoliopsida; Brassicales; Brassicaceae
Description: partial precursor microRNA 393a
Rfam family: mir-393 microRNA precursor family (bases 43-174)
Source: RNAcentral
UGAGAGAGAGAUAGAGAGUUGAACAAAUUCUUCAUAGCAACUAGAGGAAGGAUCCAAAGGGAUCGCAUUGAUCCUAAUUAAGGUGAAUUCUCCCCAUAUUUUCUUUAUAAUUGGCAAAUAAAUCACAAAAAUUUGCUUGGUUUUGGAUCAUGCUAUCUCUUUGGAUUCAUCCUUCGGUAGCUUCCUCUUCGAUCGUAUGGCAAAUUUCUCAACUAUCAUGGAUACUUCACCGGGAACUUUGCUGGCUUUAAGAUUCCGCAACCUUGUAUCUCAAGCCUACAACAGUAUACGAACUCUCUUCUUACAAUUUUCAUUUUUUAAAAGGUAAGUUUCAAAGAA